Molecule: ribosomal RNA, 252 nt
Filed under: uncultured bacterium
Lineage: Bacteria
Description: partial 16S ribosomal RNA
Rfam family: Bacterial small subunit ribosomal RNA
Source: RNAcentral
UACGUAGGGGGGCAAGCGUUGUCCGGAAUUACUGGGCGUAAAGCGUGCGCAGGCGGUCUGUUAAGACCGAUGUGAAAUCCCCGGGCUUAACCUGGGAACUGCAUUGGUGACUGGCAGGCUUUGAGUGUGGCAGAGGGAGGUAGAAUUCCACGUGUAGCAGUGAAAUGCGUAGAGAUGUGGAGGAAUACCGAUGGCGAAGGCCAGCCUCCUGGGCCAACACUGACGCUCAUGCACAAAGCGUGGGGAGCAAAC